This is a regulatory RNA element of Gallibacterium salpingitidis, 26 nucleotides long. It matches the Rfam family "L25-Gammaproteobacteria ribosomal protein leader". The record is from Rfam. NCBI's taxonomy places the organism in Bacteria, Pseudomonadati, Pseudomonadota, Gammaproteobacteria, Pasteurellales, Pasteurellaceae.
CAAGCCGCUGGGUCGCCUGUGGCUUG